This 198-nucleotide non-coding RNA is filed under the name Erpetoichthys calabaricus (reedfish). RNAcentral describes it as "Small Cajal body-specific RNA 7 (ENSECRG00000007360.1)". It matches the Rfam family "Small Cajal body-specific RNA 7", at positions 150 to 325 of the family's 330-position model. Lineage: Eukaryota; Metazoa; Chordata; Cladistia; Polypteriformes; Polypteridae. The record is from Rfam by way of RNAcentral.
GAAAAGGGGGCACAGAGAAUUUGUCUUUGCUGAUAAUGGAGUGCAUCUGAAGCCAUUCACUUUAAAACUUUUUUGUUGGCUUUUUUUUUUGUGUGUGUGAAAUGGCUGAUGAUUAUAGCCUUAAACUAGCUCACCUUGGCAGAUUGUGCAUCCAGCAGUCUCUUACAGGUCCAUUGAUUUGAUGUUCCUGUAGUCUGA